CGCCGCCAUUUUGGGCUGGGAGGAGGCAGCGGAGGGACUCGCUGCGCAGUGAGAGCACCCCGUGGGGGGUGGUCCGGGCGCGGGGAGAGGCCGGGCCGAGUGGGCUACCUGAAGUGGCGGCGCCGGGAGACGGCGGGAAGUGGGACCGGGGGCCAGGGAGGGUGAAGGUUGGAGUCUCCUCGGCCGAGCCCGGUCCUCAAACCGUCCCGGCAGCCCCGCAGCCUCGCCUCUCACAGAGUGCGGGGUUCUUCGGUAAUUACCGCGUGUUUCCCGAGACCCCAGAAGGGGAGAGGCUGGUGAAACGGCUUCCCUCUGCGGUCUUUCCACAGGGGCGCGGAUCCUGAGGCCGAGCUCUGCCAGCUUCCCUCCCCACCCCCAUUCGGCCUGGGUAUGGCGGCGAGGCCCCGCACAGAGGGACUCCCACUUCGACUGGAGAGGUGGGGGCGACGCCAGAUUCCAGAGGCUGGCGCCGCGGGGGAGGGCGGAGGUCGCAGGUCUGGCCACAAGUCGGCGUGGCAGUCAGCUGGAGGCUCCGAGAGCGGAGAUCCCAGUGCACCCACCUUACCUCGCUUACACCAAAGCGCCAUCUCGCCGCCCGGGUUGCGAAAAACCACGACCCUCUUAAACUACUGUAGCAACCACUAAUUCCCCCUGGGAGCAGCUAGAGAGGGGCACUUGGAAACCUUCACGAGCUCGGUGCCUGAAGGUCUCUGAGGCUCUUGCCCUCAAGAUCUCUCCCAUUCAGCCCCGAUUCUCCGGACAACCUGACCUAGCAUGUCGCCAGCCUCUUGGUGAAACGCCUAAAGUGUGCUGCCCCACUUCUCUUGAAAGUUUACACCGAAGGGAUGAGGUUUUGCCCUUUACAGGGUUGGGGCACAAAGUCGGAGUCGCUGCGGCUCCGAAAUAGAAACGGAGUUGCCCAUUUCGUAUGCUUCAUCAACAUCUGCUUGCAUUUUGAAAUCCUAGUCUUAACUUUUACACAACUUUUAGAGAAAUGGCUGCCCUCCUAGAGGGAAAAACGAACUACAGUAAUUCCAAUUCCAAUGUAAUCUUUGUAAGACUACAAAAUCUUUCCAGUUUAAAGAUUUUUCUUUUCCCACAGACUAAACAAAGUCAGAGUAUUUUGUGUUCUACUGGUGCAUUGUUACUAGGUAACCUCAAUUUUUUGAAAUUCCAAGUAAUUGAAGGAUCACUUUUGUAGAUCCUAAAUGCUACCAAAAAAGAAACCAGUUUUUAUCUACUUCAUAUGUAUAGCGUUUAAGAGAUGAGGAGACCUGCUUUGAAAGAAUAAACUCUUAACCUUACAUUAUAGCUGUAGCAGCUUCUUAAAGAUUGAAGUUUGAUGUGAAGUUCUUUUAUUGAAUUGCAGGUUAAACCAUCUUACUUCCUACUGCUUGAAAUCUAAAUCCAGAGAGAUUUGUGGCUCAAGGAUAUCUUCAAAUAAAAGUUUUAUUGCUAAAAUGUCAGUUAAAAUUAUGCCUAGGUAGGUGCUGAAGUAGGAGAGGCUUUGACGUAGCAGAGUGACUGGCAGUGAAUUUUGUGGGUACCUUGUGAUGAGUCUUAUUAUCAGUUACAAAUGGUCAAAACAUGCCUAAGCCUUCAGCCUUACUAAAAGUUUAACAGAACUUGGCCUGGCGCGGUGGCUCACACCUGUAAUCCCAGCCCUUUGGGAGGUGGAGGCGGGUGGAUCACCUGAGGUCAGGAGUUUGAGACCAACCUGGCCAACAUGGUGAAGCCCCUUCUCUACUAAAAAUACAAAAUUAGCCGGGUGUGGAGUUGCGUGCCUGUAAUCCCAGCUACUCGGGAGGCUGAGGCAGGAGAAUCGCUUGAACCCAGGAGGCAGAGUUUGCCAUGAGCCUCUCACCGUUGCACUCCAGCCUGGGUGACAGAGUAAGACUCUGUCUCAAAAAAAAAAAAAAGUUUUCCAGAACUGAAGUUCUGCUCCUCCUAUUAAUAAUUUUUCUUCAGUUGGAGUGACAACUCCAUAGCAUUAACUUUUUUCCCUCUGCUCCCCAGAUGUUUUACAACUGGAUUACAAAAUAGGAUCAUCAUUGACUAGGGUCCUCAAUCCAAAACUGGAACCACUUACUCCUAACUGAAGCUUCAGUACACUUGAUGCCUACUGUGGUUUGAUUUUUUACCUACAUAUGACAUGUUCGCUCUACACUGAUCAAGAGAUGUGAGUUUAAAAAAGCUAACUAACUUGGUAGGACUUAAAUAGUCAUAGGAACAGAAAAGGCUUUUAAAGACGAUCUUUGUGGGUCUUCUGUCAAGAAUUUAAUGGAGGAUCCUAGACACUUGGGAUUCAUCCUCCAUUAUGAAGUAAUCUAGUGAAAUUUUUGGAUGCUACUGAGUGGCAAAUACUGUACCAGCAGCAGAAAUUUGUUACUCAUUUGUAAAUGAAACUUACUAUCCUUAAGGUUGACCCACAAGCUUUUCCAUUCUUUGCUAAGAAAAAUUGGGAAUAGGCCGGGCACAGUGGCUCACGCCUGUAAUCCCAGCACUUUGGGAGGCCAAGGCGGGCAGAUCACGAGGUCAAGAGAUUGAGACCGUCCUGGCAGACAUGGUGAAACCCCAUCUCUACUAAAAAUACAAAAAUUAGCUGAGUGUGGUGGUGUGCACCUGUAGUCACAGCUACUUGGGAAGCUGAGGCAGGAGAAUUGCUUGAACCCCGGGGCUGGAGGUUGCAGUGAGCCGAGAUCGUGCCACUGCACUCCAGCCUGGGUGACAGAGCAAGAUUCUGUCUCAAAAAAAAAAAAAGAAAAAAUGGGAAUAAAACCAGCUUAUUAGUGGCCUCCUGGUUAUCUAAGGAAAACACAGGACUGUAGGACUGAAAAUUAGGAACUCCGAGCUCUGUUUCUGUGUGUGCUGCCCUUAACUUGGUUGACUUGGCCAGAGGCCAAAUACUGAUAAUGAGGCCAAACUGGUCAUUUUGCUGCUUAGUCUAUUGUUCAUCUACUGUUCAACCAGACUUUCAACUUCCUUUUCAGCUCUCCCCUCUCAGAUGAGUUGCAUUAUGCUUUUAUGACAAAUUCUACAAACUCUAUAUUCAUUUGAAAAUGGUAUCAGCACUGUCUCCCUCAUAAAUACCUAGAGGAGUAACUAGUCUUAAGUCGCUAUGUAAACACUUACUCCUUGUAACUUUGUUAUAUGAGAACUUCACAAGGAAUGCUUCAAAGAUCAUUGGGGCAGUUGGAAAGCCUGCCUUACCAAAGUGUGGCCUUAGUUGUCCAUAGCAUCACAAAAGAGCCAUCCAAGUAGGCUGAAUGAGGAUCAGUCUCUCAGGGUGCCCACUGGUUGUGGCUGUGAAGUCCUGGACACUCAUUUUGCCUGAUGGCCAAAUCCUAGGGAGCAGUGACUAUGUGUGAGUAGGAUUCGUUGACAGAGGUAGGAGGUUUUUUUUUUGUUUUUUUUUCCUGCUGCCUGUAUAAUUGCAGAAAAGGAGUGAUUCUUUACAGUAAUUCCCCCUCUUCGGGAUGAAGAUGCUUGCUUCUGUUUGGUUUCCACAGUUAAAUCAAUUUUUUUUCCUUUUCUUUUGAGAUGGAAUCUUGCUCUGUCGCCCAGGCUGGAGUGCAGUGGCGCGAUUUCGCCCACUGCAACCUCCACCUCCCAGGUUUAAGCGAUUCUCCUGCCUCAGCCUCCCGCGUAGCUAGGAUUACAGGCACUCACCACCAUGCCUGGCUAAUUUUUGCAUUUUAUUUUUUUCUGGAACGGAGUUUCACCUGGUUGCCAAGGCUGGAGCGCGAUGGUGUGAUCUUGGCUCACCACAACCUCUGCCUCCUGGGUUCAAGCGAUUCUCCUGCCUCAGCCUCCCAAGGAGCUGGGACUAUAGGCAUGCGCCACCAUGCACGGCUAGUUUUGUAUUUUUAGUAGAGAUGGGGUUUCUCCAUGUUGGUCAGGCUGGUCUUGAACUCCCAACCUCAGGUGAUCCUCCCACCUUGGCCUCCCAAAGUGCUGGGAUUACAGUCAGUGAGCCACUGUGCCCGGCCUGUAUUUGUAUUUUUAGUAGAGACAGGGUUUUACCAUGUUGGCCAGGCUGGUCUCCAACUCCUGACCUCAGGUGGUCCGCCCACCUCGGCCUCCCAGUGUGCUAGGAUUGCAGGCGUGAGCUACGGUGCCUGGCCAGUUAAUCAGUUUUUUACCCUCCUGUGUUUAGGCCCCAACAUCCUGUUCUUGAUCUUUUUUGGCAAAAAUUUGGCCAAAGAUUGAAAUUUUGCCUCCUGGACCAUAUAUUUUGCUCCAGUUGCAAAGUAUGACUUUUAUCCUUUGGUCAGCAGUUCCCAUGGUGUUUAGGGCCUGAAUUUGACAUUCUUUUUUUUUUUUCUUUUUGAGAUGGAGUCUAGCUCUGUUGCCCAGGCUGGAGUGCAGUGGCACGAUCUCGGCUUGCCGCAACCUCUGCCUCCCGGCUUCAAGCAGUUCUCCCUGCCUCAGCCUCCCAAAUAUCUGGGAUUACAGGCGCCCACCACCACACCCGGCUAAUUUUUGUAGCUUUUUUUGUUUGUUUGUUUGUUUUUGAGAGUCUCACUCUGUCACCAGACUGGAGUGCAGUGGCGCAGUCUCGGCUCACUGCAACCUCUGCCUCCUGGGUUCAAGCAAUUCUCCUGCCUCAGCUUCCCAAGUAGCUGGGACUACGGGUGGGCACCACCAUGCCUAGCUAAUUUUUUUUCUGUAUUUUUAGUAGAGACGGAGUUUUACCAUAUUGGCCAGGAUGGUCUCGAUCUCUUGACCUUGUGAUGCGCCCGCCUCGGCCUCCCAAAGUGCUGGGAUUACAGGCGUGAGCCACCGUACCUGGCAACAUUCUCUUUUUUUAAAAAAAUAACUUUUUAUUUCUAGCCUCAACCAUUUACACUUUGCUUGAGAAAGAAUAAUAAAGUGGAAUUGUUAUUCCAGUGAUGUUGUGCAAAUGUGAGAAAUAGUACUUCCCCCAAAAAAACAAACCUCGAAACCCCACAAACUCAAGUGUACUUAAGUACUUAACGUUCAAGUACUUUUUAACUAUAACCAACUUUUCCACCACACUGUUGUGAAUAUUUGUUGCUAGCUGUUAUGGGUAUAAGUGAUCAAGGGAAGAACUGAUGCAUUACCUAAUGCUUGACUAAAUAUAGCCAGCCCUUAAGUAGGUAGAGUAUUUGGUUGUGGGUUUUGUUGUUUAAGUCUGUGGAGUCCCUCUUUGGUUUCUUUAACUUUUGCAGUCAUUAGGGCAGAGUAUAUUUAUUUACAUUUCUCCAAGCAAAGUCUUGCUCUGUUGCCCAGGCUGGAGUACGGUGGCGCGAUCUCGGCUCACUACAACCUCUGCCUCCCAGGUUCAAGCAAUUGUCCUGCCUCAGCCUCCCGAGUAGCUGGGAUUACAGAUACCCGCCACGAUGCCUGGCUAAUUUUUGUAUUUUUAAUAGAGACGAGAUUUUGCCAUGUUGGCCAGGCUGGUUUCGAACUUUUGACCUCAAGUGAUCCAUCUGCCUUGGCCUCCCAACGUGCUGGGAUUACAGGCGUGAGCCACCAUGCCUGGCCUAAAUUUACUUUUUAAUAGAGACGAGGCUGGUUAUGUUGCCUGUGUUGGUAACUGUGUUGCCUAGGCUGGUGUCAAGUGCUUGAGCUCAAGUGACCCUCCUGCCUUGGCUUCCCAAAGUGUUAGGAUUACAGGCAUGAAGCCACUGCGCCUGGCCUGUCUAAUCUUUAUUAUGCUUCCCCUCUUUAGAGAUACUUAGUCUGUUUUUCAGAACUAAACCAAUCUGGAACUCCCUGGCUCUCUCUCCUAAAACUCUGAAGUCUAGAGGACCCUGUCUCCUGAGGGCUCUAAGAAAAGCUGUCCAGCUAGCUGUGUCAGUUUGAGAAGCAGUUUUUCCUGAUUGAAUACCUAGGCCCCAGUAGGAAAAAGGGAACAAACUGAAAUUGCUAAUUUGUAAGCCUGGUCUUUUGAGCAGCUCAGUUAAAAUGCUUGACAGAGGACUUAAGUGAAAGGCUAGAGUGGGCUUGGGGUUCAUUUAUCAUCAAAGCCCCCUGUUCAAUGUAGGUAAAUCAGCGGGGUGUGUUGGUAUCCACCUUUAGUCCCAGCUACUCAGGAACCUGAGGUGGGAGGAUCACUCAAGCCCAGGAAUUUGAGGCUGCAGUGAGAUAUGAUAGCGCCACUGCAGUCUAGCUUGGGCAACUGAGGGAGACCCCAUCUUUUUUUUUUUUUUUCAACUUUUUUUUUUUUUUUGAGACAGGGUUUCACUAUGUUACCCAGGCUGGUCUCAAACUACUGAGCUCAAGGAUUCUGCCCACCUUGGCCUUCCAAAGUGCUAGGGUUACAGGUGUGAGUCACCGGGCCUGUUGAAACCCCAAUUCUUUAAAAAAAAAAAAAAAGCUUUUUUUUUUUUUUUUUUUGAGACAGAGUCUUAUUCUGCCACCUAGGCUGGAGUGCAGUGUGGCGUGAUGUUGGCUCACUGCAACCUUUGCCUCCCGGAUUCAAGUGAUUCUCCUGCCUCAGCCUCCCAAGUAGCUGGGAUUACAGGCACCCACCACCAUGCCCAGCUAAUUUUUGUGUUUUUUUGUUGUUGUUUUUGUUUUUGAGACGGAGUCUCGCUCUGUUGCCCAGGCUGGAGUGCAGUGGUGUGAUCUCGGCCCACUGCAAGCUCUGCCUUCCGGGUUCACGCCAUUCUCCUGUCUUAGCCUCCCGAGUAGCUGGGACUAAAGGCGCCCGCCACCACACCCAGCUAAUUUUUUGUAUUUUUAGUAGAGACGGGGUUUCACCAUGUUAGCCAGGAUGGUCUCGAUCUCCUGACCUCGUGAUCCGCCCGCCUUGGCCUCCCAAAGUGCUGGGAUUACAGGCGUGAGCCACCACACCUGGCCAAUUUUUGUAUUUUUAGUAGAGACAGGGUUUCACCAUGUUGGCCAGGCUGGUCUGGAACUCUUGACCUCAGGUGAUCUGCCUGCCUCGGCCUCCCAAAGUGCUGGGAUUACAGGCGUGAGCCACUGCGCCCGGCCUUUUUUUUUUUUUUUUUUUGAGGCUGAGUUUCACUCCUGUUGCCCAGGCCGGAGCACAAUGGGGCGAUCUCGGCUCACUGCAAACUCCGCAUCCCGGGUUCAUGCCAUUCUCCUGCCUCAGCCUCUCAAGUAGCUGGGACUACAGGCACCUGCCACCAUGCUCGGCUAAUUUUGUAUUUUGUAUUUUUAGUAGAGAUGAGGUUUCUCCAUAUUGGUCAGGCUGGUCUCUUAACUCCAGAUCUCAAGAGAUCCACCCACCUCAGCCUCCCAAAGUGCUGAGAUUAUAGGCAUGAACCACCACGCCCGGCCCAACCUUUUUUUUUUUAAAUUAAAAUAUAGGUAACUAAUUGUUUUCUCUGCCAGGAGAGCAAUAUGCUAGUUAAAUGUUUCAAUAGAAAGUGAAGAAAUAGGAGGCCGGGUGUGGUGGCUCACACCCAUCAUCCCAGCACUUUGGGAGGCCGAGGCAGGUGGAUCACGAGGUCAGGAGAUCGAGAUCAUCCUGGCUAACACGGUGAAACCCCGUCUCUACUAAAACUACAAAAAAAAAAUUAGCUGAGCGUGGUGGCGGGUGCCUGUAGUCCCAGCUACUUGAGAGGCUGAGGCAGGAGAAUGGCAUGAACCUGAGAGGCGGAACUUGCAGUGAGCCGAGAUCGCGCCACUGCACUCCAGCCUGGGCGACAGAGCAAGACUCCAUCCCUCACCCCCCCCCCAAAAAAAAGAAAAGUGUAGGAAUAGGCUGGGCUUGGUGGCUCACAACUGUAAUUUUGGGAGGCGGAGGAGGGCGCAUUGCUUGAGCCCAGGAGUUUGAGCCCAGGAGUUUGAGACCAGCCUGUGCAACAGGGUGAAACCCUGUCUCUCCAAAAAAAAAAAAAAAAAAAAAAAAAUAGCCAGGCGUGGUGGCAAGUACCAGCUACUCAGGAGGCUGCAGUGGGAGGAUCGCUUUAGCCUGGGAAGUGGAGGUUGCCGUAAGUCCAGAUCGCGACACUGCACUCCAGCCUAGGCAACAGAGCAAGACCCAUCUCAAAAAAAAAAAAAAAAAAAAGCCAGGCGCGGUGGCUUAUGCCUAUAUUGCCAACACUUUGGGAGGCUGAGACGGGCGGAUCACUUGAAGUCAGGAGUUCGAGACCAGCCUGGCAACCAUGGCGAGACCCCGUCUCUACUAAAAAUAGAAAAAUUAGCCAGUUGCAGUGGCGUGCACCUGUAAUCCCAGCUACUCGGGAGGCUGAGGCAGGAGAAUCGGUUGAACCCAGGAGGCUGAGGUUGCAGUGAGCCGAAAUCACGCUACUGCACUCCAGCCUGGCGACAGAGUGAGACUCCGUCUCAAAAAAAAAAAAAAAGUAUAGAAAGUGUUAAAACUGAAAUUUUGAAUAAACCUCAUCAUUGUGAGAAUAUAAAUGCAAAAAAAAAGGUAAAAUGCUAGUGCCUUUGAAAGCAAAAUUCAGACAUACUUGCAUAGCUUAAGGUAAAUUGAUGUAUGAGAGUUAUUUGUAAUUAGAUAUUUGUGUAUAUAUAUAUUUUUGAGACAGUUUCGCUCUUCUUGCCUAGGCUGGAGUGCAAUGGCGCGAUCUCCUCUCACUGCAACCUCCACCUCCCGGGUUCAAACGAUUCUGCUGCCUCAGCCUCCCGAGUAGCUGGGAUUACAGGCAUGUGCCACCACACCCGGCUAAUUUUUGUAUUUUUAGUAGAGACGGGGCUUCUGUAUGUUGGUCAGGCUGGUCUCUUAACUCCUGACCUCAGGUGAUCUGCCCACCUCAGCCUCCCAAAGUGCUGGGAUUACAGGCAUGAGCCACUGUGCCCAGCCUAGAUAUCUGUAUAUUUGAAGACUGGGCUGAAUUUGUCUUCUAAAACAUACUUUUUCUGAUGAUAAAUGCAUUUAUAGUCUUUCCAAGAUUCAUUUUCUAAAUAUCAUUUUUCUAAUACUAGGGGAAAUAAGAUUUUCAUAGCUGAAUCCCUCUUUAAGAAGAGGGUCUGGGCUGGGCGCAGUGGCUCAUGCCUGUAAUCCCAGCACUUUGGGAGGCCGAGGCGGGCGGAUCACCUGAGGUCGUGAGUUCGAGAGCACCCUGACCAACAUGGAGAAACUACGUCUCUACUAAAAAUACAAAAUUAGCUGGGGGUGGUGGCACAUGCCUGUAAUCCCAGCUACUAGGGAGGCUGAGGCAGGAGAAUCGCUUGAACCUGGGAGGCAGAGGUUGCGGUGAGCCAAGAUUGCACCAUUGCACUCCAGCCUGGGCAACAAGAGCGAAACUCCGUCUCAAAAAAAAAAAAAAAUAAAGAAAAAGGGUCUAAUAUCAGAGAUAAUCACUGCUGCAUCUUACAGUUCAGUCAAAAUGAGGCUUCAGCUCUGCACUGUAAAGCCAGAGGGCACUGUUGCUGCCUUUCCAAGCAGCUGUUUUUCUGGGGCUGCUGCAUGACGUCAUAGCAGAAGAAAAAAACACGAAGAAAACUAUUUCAAAAUAAAUGUUUAAUAUAAUUUUUAGACCAAAGAAAAACUCAAUCAUACAUUGUCUCCAGUGGACCAUAUGUGCCAGAACAGGACCAACUCAGUCCAGCUUUGAAGGCCCUGAUUCAGUCCUACUGGUAUAAUCUCCCUUGAUUUAUUGAUUUGUGUAUGCUUCUUAUGCAAUACAAGGUGCAUUUUACUCUUGAAGUCCCUAUCACCUCCACCAUCGCCAUUUAACUGCAAAAGCAUGCUUCCUAAUGGGAGGGUUUUCUUCCCCCUUCCCUGCAGAGGUUCUGAACCUUCAAGGAGUUUGACAAUCUUAUGAAUCUCUUGAACCUUCUCCCCAGAAAAAUGUACAUACAAGUCUACAAAUAAUUUCAUGGGGUUCAUGGACCCCAAGGCCCACAAUGGUUUCUAAGGCCCCAAAUUAAGGAACCUCUGUGCUAGUGAUUUGAGCAACGCAAUUGCCCUCAGAAGACACUGACACAGGGCAGGUGAAGGACUGGGUUAACCAAAAUGACAGGAGGCAAUCUCAUAAUUUCUGUUUUUAUUUUGGGGCAAAAUUUAGUUCUCAGGGCCUCCCUACGUUUAAGAGCAGAACUACUCAAGAACCUAAGCAGCUAUCAGCAUAGUUUAAGCGAUUUAGAAUAGGGCUGUGCAAGGGGAUGUACAGGGUUCCUCAUUCAGCUGAGGACCUCAUUUAGCUCCUUAACUGGAAGCUUUACAUUUGAUCUGCAGUGAGGGGACAUUUCUAAUUUUAGUUUGACCCACAUGGAAAGGUGGAUAGCUUUUUUUUUUUGUUUUGGUAUAGAGAGCACGUAGAAUUGGACAAUUAGGUAAAUCCUUGGAAUCCCCCAAACAGCCAUUUGCUUUAUAAAUCCAGUAUUUCUUACCUCUGAACGUCUUAAAGAGCUGCCUCACAAAUUAAUCUAACCAUUGCUUGCACUAAGAAGUUUGCCAAGAGCCUCUUCCAGCCUUACUGGGGGGAAGGAAGAGAUUACUGAAAACCAACUUGUAGGAAUGAAAUGAGGCUGUCAGUUGUCUAACCUAACAAACUGCCAAAUUAGGUUUACAUUUUUUGUUAUUAGACUUUUGAAUGGCCGAGGCAGAGUUAAAUUUAAAAUUUUGGAUUGUAGCCACUUUCCACUCGCCUAAACACUCAAUACCGGUUUGUUUAUUUUUCCAGCAUCAAGAAAGAAAACCAAGGCACUAGAAAGCAAGCACACUUAAGUAUUGAAGAUAAUUACAUCUUAAAUUUUGCCUGAACUGUAUAUUGUAGCAUACUUAAACCCAUUCAAGGAAAAAAUUGGCAAAUUGAAAAUUCUCCCAUUAAAGAUUGAUAUUUUUGCAAACUGACAAAUUUAACGAUUUCGGUACCCCUCCCCAAAAAUGCAGUCACAUAAAAUAUAUCAAUACUAUUUUGAAUUAGCUCUAGAAAUCACACUGAAACUAUGUUACAUUUACAAAUAUUAAAUUUAUUAUAACUAAAAUGAAUUUAAUUGUUCUCAGAUUUGGCCACCUUAUAGCUCCGUUUAAGGAGGGGAUUUGUUAAAAACAAAAAUGCAUUAUAACUUGGUCAAAUUACUUUCACAUUAAGGAAAAAAACUUCUAAAAAGGAAAACAAGAAAAGCAACUCUUCAGUUUCACAUAAUUAAAAGAACAGGAGAAAGCACGCAAGCUACAUAUAGCUAAAUUUACGAAACCAAAGCCAGGGGGAUUUCUCUUCUGAUUAUGUGUCAUAAAAAGGUCCACUGUCUUAUAUACACAUGUAUAUAAUGUUACAUUCCAUCACUGUAAAAAGUCCCCUUUGCCCCCUCCCCCAAAAAAGUUUCAGUCUAGUCUCCAAACUUGGAAAGCGGCGCUCGCUCCUGCUGCCGGUGCAGUUCGUUCUCGGUCAGCAGCUGGAGGUUCUCGGCGCGCAGCCGGUCCAGCUCCAGCUCCAGCUCCCGCACACGCGCGUCGUCGCCACCCAGCCGCUUGCUCUCCAGCCGCAGCCGGUUGUUCUCGUCCUCCAUGCGCGAGAGGCACUUCUCCAGUUCCAGGUACUCCUUGAUGAGCUCCUGCUUGCUCAUGUUCUGCAGGCUCUCCGUGUGGUACCGCUCGUACGUCUCCGAGAAGUCCCGCUGCAGAAACUCGCUGCCGUCCCCUCCCAUCCCAUCGCUGCCCCCAUCCUCCUCACCCCCUUCUUCCAUGAAGUCGUCAUCGCUGGUGUCGUCGGAUUUGGCGGCGGCCCGCUUGGAGUACAGGCCGGUUUUGAGAUCCGGCUCCUCCUGGUCGUGAUCAUCCAUGAGGAACUGCGUGGUGUUAUAGGGCGCGACCGGCUGGCCCUUGGCGAACAUCUCGGCUCGGAUCCUUGAAGCUCGAAGGCUCUGUUUCUCGUCGAACUUUUUCUUCUCUUCCCAGGUCAGCUUGUAGUACGGUUUCCAAUGCCGCUUCUUCUUGGACGGGCGUCUCCUAUGUUUUUUCUUCCCCAGCUGUCUCUGCUGCUGUCCCCACUCCUCUUCGCCCCCUGCGGCAGGAGCCCCCAACUUACUGGCCUCGGAGUCAUGACAAGGCUGGGCGAGCAGCUCGGCCUCGGGCGUCGGUUCCACUUCUGCCGGCGGCGGGAAGUCGCCGCCAGCGGACGAGUCGUCCCCAUUCUGGCCCUUCUCGCCCUCUCUCAGGCAGCUAGAUUCUGGACAGGCCUGGGUCUGCAAGGGAGGUGGUUGGGAUUCCAGGCUCCCUUCCCCCUCCGGCCCCGGACGGCCACCCAACUGGGGGAACGCUCUCGAUUGCCACCUACUGUCCUCCUCGGGCACCCGCUCCUCCGCGCCUGGGGGGCGCUCAGGGUUCAGCUCUUCCUGGACAGCAGCAGCACCUGUACAGUUGCUAGUUUGAGGCUGGUGUUGAUAUUCUGACAAGAAUGGCUCGGCCAUGGCUAGUAGAGUCCUCGAAGUUUAAGAAAUUUUGGCUAGUAAGUCCUUAAGGAAAAAAAUGGGUUUUUCUUAAAAAAAAGAAAAAGAAAAAAAAAACAGUCCAACAGAGUCCUCUUCAGUUUGUAAUUCCUGCAGUGACGCCUUUAGCUAGUCCUUCUAUCAGCAAACUCCAACUGCAAUCUGGGGAGCUCAAGUCAGUAAAGGGUUAAGCGCCCACAGUGCGGCCAGCUAGCGGGUCCAAGGGGGUGCAGCGGCAGGAACAGUACGUAAUGGGCGGAGGUGGGCCUCAAACCUCCAAGCGGAGCACCCCAAUAAAGGAGUUGGUGAGCAAGGUGAUGAGGGUAAGUCCAGUGCGUGAAACCCAGCCCCGAAGGGGUUAAAACUACCGAUGACGCUGCCUCCGAGGGGCCAGAUCCACAAAGGGUUAAAUCCCCUGCCGCAGAGCCCACAAGGGGUUAAAGUCCCGGCGCCACCUCCUCCCACUUCCACGGGUGUCGCUUCCACCCAAGCUCCCAGUUCCCUAGGCCCGGCCGUAGCCUCAGCAGAGGACAGACAAACUCAUCUCCCCUUUGGCUCGAUGCUCUGCUCUGCUCAGUUCUCCUCCGCCUCCUCCUCUUUUCCUCCCUCCCUCCUCCCCCUUCCCACAGCUCCUCUUCCGCGUCCUCCCCCGACUUUCCCUCCCAACCUGCCUCUCCACCUGCCAACUUCCAACUGCUGUCUCCCAGUCCUCUGCGCCCCUUUUAUAUAGAAGCUUUUUCGCCCCGCCCGUGCGCAUGCGUAACGGAGUUCCCUUUGCGGGGCGCCGGGAGUCGUAGUUCUUAUCUUUCGGGCCCGCCGCCCUCGCGCGCCGUGCGACGUAGCCAAUCCCAGGACGCGUAGGGGGCGUCUCCCUGGCCGCCACCUUCCAUCGCUUAGACCUCGCUAAAGAAACGCGAGCGGCCAUUGGUGAAAAAUCACACGACUCGCUGAGGAAGGACGGCCAAUCGCAGAGAAGAUGGGGCGGGUUCUGGACCGUACCAUUCUGUUUCAGGAAUACGAGAAGAUUCGAUGGCCUAUGAGAGUCCUCACAGAAUAUUUUUAUGAAAAGGUGCGUUAUAAAGGCUAUUAUCGUAUUUUGUUCUCAGCGGAGGGGUUCCGAAGGUUAUGAACCUUUAUUAACUAACGCAAGAAUGGUUUAUUCCUAAAAAGUAGUCCCUAAAAUGUAAAAGAAUUAAAUCCUAUAAAGAGAGACGUCGGCCCACGGCUGCUAACUCGCGAGUCUUAAGAUUAUAGAAAUGGCUUCAAGGCGGGUGGUGAGUGCCUGAGACUGACACUUGCGGAAGGAUAUCGCGAGCACAUUUUGUAAAGACCGAAGAGCGCAUGAAGAAGUAAACAAAUGAAGAAUAAAAAGUGCCGCCUUAAAGGGACAGUGUGACUGCGUUUAGCGCCGCAGGCUCGCACUAGGCCUCGGAAGACGAAGAGGCGGGUUCGAGUCCCGGUGACGCGACUCCCGGACUGACCUCGGUACCCUUAGCUGAAGGUGGCGGAGUCCCAGCCCCAGCCUGGUCUCAGAAAGCCGCCCCCGCCCCAGGGGCAAAUGCAAACUGGUGAUUCGCGACCAAGGCUCUUCCCUGGGCCGAGAUCGGAAAGCCGGGGCCGGGGGCGGGCGGGGGAGUGGAGGGGGAAGCGGGGGAAGGCCACGCCCCCACGCCUCAGCUUCUGUCGAAGAAAAUGGCCUCCUGGGGCCGAUUUGGUCUUUUCACUUCCGACCGAGAUCAUUUCCUGAGCCGGGACAGAGGAGGUCCGGGACAGCCAUGAGGCUGUUUGUUGGGAAGAGUUCGGAAUGAUUAAUGAGUUGAAAUCAUCAGCCCUGGCUAUCCGAGAGGGAAGCAGGUCUCACCCGCAGAGGCCCUUCCUCAUCAGUGGGCGCUGGGCAAGACUGGGAGGGAAGCAUGGAGGAGGCCUUGCUCCGAAACUUGCUGCAGGGGAUUCUGGCGCAGGGCUGGGGGGGCCGAUUCCCCCGGGGGCGUAGUUUCUCAGAGAGAAAUUCUCUAGACCCAAGCCCCCAGCCCUCCAUAAACAGGGACUGAGAGGACCCAGAGAACCCUCCAUACCAGUCACUGAGGCCUAAAAUCUUGGCGCCCUUUCCACUUCUCCUUCGCCACACACCCAGUGACCCUUUCUUCUUAUUGCUUCCUUAAUAGCAUCCCUGACAUUCCAGCACGUUUGCACUGUGUACCUUUUACGCACAGAGCCAUGUGACCUCACCACAGCCUGGCAAGUUAGACACGAUAGGAAUGAGUGUCUCCAUUUUACAGAUAAGGCAUCUCUAAGACACUGGAAAAUAAGUGACUUGUCCAAGGUCACAUGACAACCAUGGGGCAGUUCUGGCUAGAGCGCUGGUCUUUGUGACCCCCCCCGUGCCAUUUUUCUUUCUGUCACAAACACAAAACCCAUUUUUUCUUAAAAUCGGGGAAUACUCUGGAUUUCGUUCUUUUUAUUCCCAACAACUUCAACCUUAUUCAGCCCCUAUAUCACUUGGCAAACAGGAGGGUACAAAGAGGGGUGGGAUGCCAUUCUUGCCUUCAAGUUGCUCCUGGACUGUGGAGAGGCCAUCAGACCACAGCCAGCCUAAAUGGCAAGUGAGGGAAAUCCUGGUGGGAGCUGAUGAGCCGAGUGCAUGGGAGCUGGGAAUUAUGGACAAGUGUCAGGAGCAAGUGACUUCCUGGCUGGCUCUGAAGGAUGAAGAGCUUUCAGGCAAAGUGGCACGAAGAGGGGCAUUUUAGGAAGCCCAAGCAUCAUGUGCCAGGAAAGGGCUAGUCUGGGACUUCGGUGGCUCUGGGCAGUGUGAGAUAUCGGGGGUGGGGGCCAGUGGUGAUGGGCAUGGCCAAUGUAGAUGCCUCUAAGGGGAGCCGCAAGCACGCGGGCCUCUGGGCACAGCUAUAUGUUCUGAAAAUGAACACCUUCAUUUGUUUUCUCUGGGCUUCCAAGAAUUCGGGUCCACCUGAAAAGUUCGCCACUCCGUGUGGCUUCAUCCCUUAGGAGGCUUCCUGAGAGCAAGAACUGCCCCUCAGAGCACUCCUGGAGGAAAAAGGGAUUUUGCAGAUAACUUGGUUAUCACAGAGAGUUAUCACAGAGACCUCCAAAUUGUUACCCCAUCUUCAGACUCCAGAGGAUUCUGGGGUACCCCCAGUCAGGGCAUUUGGAAGGCACUGCUGAGCCUAGCCUCAGUGUCCUGGACUGGGCUCCACUGUAUGGUCUCGUGUUCUAUUGGGGGAGAGGUGGACUGACGAAUAGGUUGUGGAAUUCUAGAAUUCUGUCAAGGGGCCAGGCAACCUUACUGUUAGCUGGGUUCUAACCCUUUGCCAGGCAUUUAACAUGCCCCAUCACUGGUAAACCCCAGGACUGCCUUAUGAAAAAGAGAUCAACUCUAUUUCACAAAAGAGGCCACCCAAGGCCAGAGCAGUUAAGAAUCUUCCCCAAGGGGGCCGGGCGCGGUGGCUCACGCCUGUAAUCCUAGCACUUUGGGAGGCCGAGGUGGGCGGAUCACGAGGUCAGGAGAUCGAGACCAUCCUGGCUAACAUGGUGAAACCCCAUCUCUACUAAAAAUACAAAAAAUUAGCCGGGCGUGGUGGCCCCCGCCUGUAGUCCCAGCUACUUCCGGGAGGCUGAGGCAGGAGAAUCGCUUGAAUCUGGGAGGCGGAGGUUGCAAUGAGCCGAGAUCGCGCCACUGCACUCCAGCCUGACAACAAAGCGAGACUCGGUCUCAAAAAAAAAAAAAAAAAAAAAAUAUCUUACCCAAGUUCCACAGCUACUGUGCAAGUGGUGGAGCUGGCUUCAGCUCCAGGCCUGCAUCCCCCACCAAGGUGGCCCUGCUGUUGUCUGUCCUGCUUGCUGCAGUCCAGCCUUAUCACAGGGGCUAUUCAGCCUGUGCUUGUGACCCUGGGCUGAGCCGUGCAGGUGCAGAGCGCACCGUCUAGCCUCAGGGAUGCCUUCCCGGCUUUGAGAGGACUGACGACUAAAGAGUGACUGUGGCUUCCAGUGGGGCCAAUGAUGGCGAAGCCUGGGACGGUGGUCGAGACUAGAGGCUGACAGGGAACUCAGGAGUUUAAGGAUCUCAGCCAGGGGCCUUCAGAACUGCCUCUUCCUUACCCAGGGGUAGGAAGGUCCUAGGGCCCAGGUGGUGGCAGCGGCGGGGGACUGCGGUAGAGACCCUGGCCAGUGGACUUGGAGGCGCUGGCACCAGGCGGCCCUCAGAGCGGCCAGUUUCGCCACUGAAUACAGGCCGGACCGAGGCUUGAGCCAAGACGGCCCACGGACGACAGGGCUUGUGCUGGACAGAGGGAGGCCAAGGCUUCUGGCCCGUACCCCCCGACGGCGACUGCACGCGGGCGCUCGGCCCACCCCGACAGGGGCUUCCAGGCGCGCAGGGCCCUGCUCCCUACUCAGGGCGGGGCGAGGACGAGGCUCUCGCUGGGCCUUGGCCUCCCAGAAAAUCCCCUGGGAAGGCCCAGGCCCGGAGGUCAAGGUGGGGCACCGGGAACUGAGGCAGCUGAGGAGG
RNAcentral lists this long non-coding RNA (16858 nucleotides) under Homo sapiens (human). Its description in RNAcentral is "non-protein coding lnc-PLCD3-1:8". Lineage: Eukaryota; Metazoa; Chordata; Mammalia; Primates; Hominidae. The record is from RNAcentral.